GAUGAACGCUGGCGGCGUGCUUAACACGUGCAAGUCGAACGGGAUCCAAGGGGUGCUUGCACUUUUUGGUGAGAGUGGCGAACGGGUGAGUAACACGUGAGUAACCUGUCCUUUUCUUUGGGAUAAGCAUUCGAAAGGGUGUUUAAUACCUUAUGUUCUGUCUGCCUCGCAUGGGGUGGGUGGGAAAGGCUUUGGCCGGAUUUGGGUGGGCUCGCGGUCUAUCAGCUUGUUGGUGGGGUGAUGGCUUACCAAGGCUUUGACGGGUAGCCGGCCUGAGAGGGUGGUCGGUCACAUUGGGACUGAGAUACGGCCCAGACUCCUGCGGGAGGCAGCAGUGGGGGAUAUUGCACAAUGGGCGAAAGCCUGAUGCAGCGACGCCGCGUGGGGGAUGAAGGCCUUCGGGUUGUAAACUUCUUUUGCUCUGAACAAGGCAUGCCAGUGGGUGUGUUGAGUGUAGGGGUUGAUUAGCGCCGGCUAACUACGUG
Molecule: ribosomal RNA, 485 nt
Filed under: uncultured bacterium
Lineage: Bacteria
Description: partial 16S ribosomal RNA
Rfam family: Bacterial small subunit ribosomal RNA
Source: RNAcentral